This is a non-coding RNA of Podarcis lilfordi (Lilford's wall lizard), 74 nucleotides long. The record is from the annotation of a GenBank genome assembly. Lineage: Eukaryota; Metazoa; Chordata; Lepidosauria; Squamata; Lacertidae.
UCGCAAAGCUCAGUUGGUAGAGAUUGAGACUCUUAAUCUCACGGUCCUGGGUUCGAAUCCCACAUGGGGCAAAA